CAUUAGAUGGCUGAAAGUAAGCAAUGGAAUUUUAAACCAUAAAAUGAUAAUUUAACAACUAUCUCUAAUG
This 70-nucleotide transfer RNA is filed under the name Cochabamba sp. REN-2018. RNAcentral describes it as "tRNA-Lys". The record is from RNAcentral. Lineage: Eukaryota; Metazoa; Arthropoda; Insecta; Coleoptera; Chrysomelidae.